GGAGGGGUGCCCAGGUCCUGCUGCUCAGCUGUGUUUUCUGCCUGACCACACCAGCCUGCUCAGGCAGACACAAACCUCCCAAUGAACCAAGGAAGCAGAGCUAAUGCACCCUGUGACCUGUGUGAAGAAGGCACUAGGGAAGCAGGAGACGGAAACAACAAAAAGAAGAAAAAGCCUCUCCUGCAGAGUGGUCUGAAGAAGACCUUGCUGAGCUGCCUGCCCCUCUUGCUGCUGAAGUGCUCCCUCCGUGCUGCCUCAGCUGCUGGAUGGCAACGGGAAGAAAUGAAAGACCAAAAGAGGUCCAGGAGUGACUUUAGGCUGUUCAUGACUGUGUGAGGCCACAGGCAGGCCCUGUGGGAUGCAGCGGGGUUUACAGGAGGGCUGGCUCCAUGAUGUCCCACAGCUGCUCCAGAGGGGAAUGGGGCAUCCACUCAUGUCCCCCUAAAUGCAUUAUCGCCUCAUGGAGGAUUACACAUUCCAAAUCAAAUUCACCACGUAAAUGGAUUUUGGUGAGGUAAUUCUCUUGUUUCUAAACAGACGGCAUAGGGAAAAGUGAUGAAAGUUGGCGCUUGCUUUCAAAUGCUAAUGUACUUAGCAACAAUAAAGUUUAAAAGCUGAGUUAUAAAGUGAAAACA
RNAcentral lists this long non-coding RNA (635 nucleotides) under Cyanistes caeruleus (blue tit). RNAcentral's name for it is "lncRNA (ENSCCEG00000023456.1)". The record is from RNAcentral. Lineage: Eukaryota; Metazoa; Chordata; Aves; Passeriformes; Paridae.